GACGAACGCUGGCGGCGUGCUUAACACAUGCAAGUCGAGCGGUAAGGCCCUUCGGGGUACCCGAGCGGCGAACGGGUGAGUAACACGUGAGUAAUCUGCCCAUCACUUCGGGAUAACUCCGGGAAACCGGUGCUAAUACCGAAUAUGACCACUUCAGGCAUCUGAUGGUGGUGGAAAGUUCCGGCGGUGAUGGAUGAGCUCGCGGCCUAUCAGCUUGUUGGUGGGGUAGUGGCCUACCAAGGCUUCGACGGGUAGCCGGCCUGAGAGGGUGACCGGCCACACGGGGACUGAGACACGGCCCAGACUCCUACGGGCGGCAGCAGUGGGGAGUAUUGGACAGUGGGCGAGAGCCUGAUCCAACAACGCCGCGUGAGGGAUGACGGCCUUCGGGUUGUAAACCUCUUUCAGCGGGGACGAAGCGCAAGUGACGGUACCUGCAGAAGAAGCACCGGCCAACUACGUG
This 463-nucleotide ribosomal RNA is filed under the name uncultured bacterium. RNAcentral describes it as "partial 16S ribosomal RNA". It matches the Rfam family "Bacterial small subunit ribosomal RNA", at positions 28 to 507 of the family's 1533-position model. The record is from RNAcentral.